UUUUGUUUUUUUUUUUAAGCUAGAGUGUUUGUUUCUCACCCUCAGCACUGUUGACAAUUUGGGCCAGAUGAUUGUUAUGGGGGCUGUUCUGUGCAUUGUAGGAUGUUUAGCAGCAUCCCUAAGUUCUACCCACAAGAUACCAUUAGCACCUCAACACAGGUUUUUGUGUGUGUGUGUUUCUUUAUUGUUUUUUUAAUCAGAGAGGGAGAGAGAGAGAGAAACAUCAAGAAUCAUUGAUCUGCUGCCUCCUGCAUGCCCCCACUGGGGAUCGAGCCUGCAACCUGGGCAUGUGCCCUAGACCGGAAUCGAACCUGGGACCUUUCAGUCCGCAGGCCGAUGCUCUAUCCACUGAGCCAAACUGGCUAGGGCUCAACCCAAGUUUGACAAGGAAAAAUAUCUCCAGGUAAUUGCCAAUGUCCCCUAGUUGAGAACCACUGUUCUAGGAGCUCAAAAUCUAAGUAAGAGAUGACACAAGAAUUCAGCCUUUCCCUUUUUUAGCACUGAAAGUACUGCAUCUCAGAAAAUUACUCAGUCCCAGGUUGGUCACCACAGAUAGCAUGAGACAGAAUGCACCAAGGGUCAAAAUGUGAGUUCAGCUUGGGCUAGAGUGGUGAGGGAAGGUUUUUAGAAAUGGGCAGGGAGUGGGGGAUAGCAGCUGAGUUGUCUUAAAGGUACUGGAGGGGAGGGGGUAUUUGUAAGUAAAAGCAGGGUGUGUCAGUGUCACAUGAAGAAACCAGCUGGUCUACUUGGAGGGUUCUGAGUUCAUACAGCUGAAUGCCUACUCUGGGCUAAGCACUUGGGACACAGAAAGGUCAAGGAGACAGGUCUAUGGCCUGUGUGUGCACAUGAUAUAGACUCACAGGUGUCAAGGGUGACAUAUGAGCAGGGUGCUGUGGGAUUUCCAGGUAGAAGGAAUCACUUAUGCUAUGAGUGCAAAAAUCCCUAAAGGGACAGGCAUGCAAGCAGAGAAAACACCAAAAAAACAAAACAAUUGGUAGACUUGGGUAAAACAGUUACUUGUGACUCAAAAGUAGCAGGGGAAAUGUGUAGAGACAGAAUCAGGAGAGUUCUGGGGUUACCUGGAGAAGGAGCUGGGGCCUCGUGUGUGUCAUAUUAGCUCAUAGGUGAGAGUCCAUUCUGCUUUGCUUUUCACUAUUGACUCUCUAACCCAAAGAUGACCACACCCACCACAGUCAUUUCCUGAACUCUCCUUAAUUAGCACAAGGUUGGGCACAGGGCAGGUAUUUAAGAUAUACGAAUUGAGAGCUCUGAGCAUCAGGCUUAUGGAGAGAGAAAAUUCCCUUCCUUCUUCCUGCUAUCUAGCUCCAAAGUGCAAAUCCAUCCAUAGGAGGCAGCUGUAUGGCUGGGGAAAUCUCAGAAUGCCUGGGUGAAAAACAUCCUAAUUGUCUUCCAGGCCAAUCAGUCUCCAGCCAUCUAGAGAAGAUGGCCAGUUAGGGCCCUGCUCCACAAAGGUUAAGAAAGAAAUGCCAAGUCACCAACAGGCCACCUAAGUCGGGCCUGUUUUAGUGUUCCACUUGAGCAAAGGGGUUGAGAACCCUGUCCCCACAGCCCAGUGUCUGUGCCGGGGACCUAGGACAGGAUGCUGGCCCCAGCCCAUGGUGACACCCACCUUGCUGGGAGAUCCGCUUCACCAGCAGGUUGAGCUGCUCCACCACCAGCUGCUUCUUGCUCUCCAUCAGGUGGGAGAAACCGCGCUGCAGAGCAGAGGCCAUGGCUUGGGAGUCCUGGCUUAGGCUCUGCUUCAGCUGGGUUGUUGCAUUAUCUCCAACUAGGAACUGGAACUCGGGCACUUCUGCAGGAAGGCCAGGCCAGAGCCCAUAUCAGGAAUGGCAAGAUAGAACCCACAGAAGUGGGAAGUUGCAGGGGGCCUAUCCAUCCCAUCCCUAACCAAGAAGUCAGGCGGUGCUAAGCAAACUGCAGUGAAAACCGACUGCUCACCACCAGCCCACAGCAACCACACCUAAGCCUGGUCUCAUGGGAUUAUCCCAGUAGCUUCAAGAAUUCAUGAGGCUAACCAGCCUUUCAGUUCCUGUGACAUUCAACCUCUGUUCUUGGCCACUGUUCUAGCUCAGCCCUGGGUUGCCAAUGUAUUCUAGCCCCAAUAUGCUUGCUGUCAGCAUUUUGCUAAACCUUACUUGUCAGAAAGGUCACAAUUUCCUCAACUGGCCGGAAGCCACAUAAGCCCUGAAAGGAGGUGAGGGCAAUGGCCAUUUCUGGCUUAUGGUUGGAAUCAGGGUAGUGCUGUGGAGCCUGGAGGUGCAGCUUCUCUGCCAGUUCCUGUGGGAUGGCCAGGGGAAGAGGAGGAAGGUCAAGGCGCAGCCAUCACCUAGCAGGUUACCAGUCCCACCCAGGCCUUGCUCCCUACCCUCCCAGGCCCCAGAAAGCAGUAGCUUCCUACUUCUAGCAACAAGCCCAGUCAAGGCAUAAUGCAGAAAUUCCAGGUUCAGCCAACCCAGGGCAGAGACAUGGGCCAAGUCUGGGGGCAGUCUUUAAGAGGCCUGGACUGGGAAUCAGGAAACCCAAACACCAAGCCACACUCUGACACAAGCUGUGUGACUUUGGGUAAAUCCCUCACUUCUCUGGGUCUUACUUUGCUCAUCUAGAAAUGAGGAGUUUGGAUAGGCAAAUGCUUAUGAUGUUAUUCAUGGGAUUGUUGCAGAAAGACUCCCGGGGGUGGAGCUGAGGCAACAGCUAGGGUGCCUGCCCUGCCCUAAAAGGUGAAUUCUCUAAAAGAACCAAAUAGGAAAAUGUCAGAUAUGAAUAGUCCUGGGCUGGGUAAAGUGAGAGAAACUCCCCUGGCACAGGCUGGUCAGCUGUUCACUUAGAUUUAGCUGCCAGCAUGUGUCACCAUCAUCUAGUCUUGCCGAGUUGUCAGGCCUCGAUUUAGCUUUGAGAGGAAGCCUAGCAUAGGUAGGGUAAAAGCAGCAGUAAAAGUUGUCAAAAGGGCCAGACUGGCGUGCUCAGUGGUUGAGCAUCGACAUAUGAACCAGGAGGUCAUGGUUCCAUUCCUGGUCAGGGCACAUGCCCAUAUUGCGAGCUCAAUUCCCAGUGUGGGGUGUACAGGAGGCAGCCGAUCAAUGAUUCUGUCUCAUUAUUAAUGUUUCUAUCUCUCCCUCUCCCUUCUCUGAAAUCAAUAAAAUAUAUAUUUUUAAAAAAUUGUUAGAGGGCCUUAAAAGUAAGCUCUUCUCUACCUUGAUUGUACCCCAUUCUGAUCCUAUACCUUGUUAGGGUGUGCCUGGAUGGAGAGGGCUGUUUCAACCGAGAGCACUUUGAAGAGGAAGGGCAGCUUGCCAUUAAAGGUGUCCUUGACCUUUGAGCCUAAGCAGUCCUGGUUCUCAGCGAUCCACUGGCCUAAGGUCCUCUGAGAGAUUCGACUGUCAAGAAUCUUGGCAUCUCCCCGGGGGUGGGUCCCCAUCCACAGCUGGAAAAACAGGAAAUUUGGGAGAAAAGAGAGAAAAACAUACACCACCAGUUUGCCUGCCCCAAUGCCAGAGUUACCCUGUGUUCCCCAUAGGGCAGUUAAAUCCCAAGACAGGCCUCCCAGCACUGGGUAUAAAUCCUCAUGCAAUCACGGACCUAAAAUGAGGCAGCAGACCCCAGAAUACCAGGAGCAGAAGACCCAGGCUCUAGUCCAGGUUCUGCCUCUAACCAGCUGUGGAGGCUUAGACUAGUUAUUUCCUGUCUCUGGGUCUCAGUUUUCUCAUCUGUCCAGCAAGGAGAAUAACACCUACACUGUCAAGGUCACUAGAAAUCUCUCAAGCUCAAAUAGCUCCAGGAGGUGUUAGCAUUCAUUUAUGCCAGUCUCAGAUUUAGAGGCUAAAGCCUCCCUAUGCUUUUGGCUUUUUCUCUACUAAAUGGGCAGAAAUAUAAUUUAAACCUAUAAUUUUAGGUUUAAAAAUGUAAAAGCUAGUGCCCUGGCCAGGUAGCUCAGUUAGUUAGAGCAUCAUCCCAAUUCUCCAAGGUUGUGGGUUUGAUCCCCAGUCAAGGCACAUACAAGAAGUAACCAAUGCCUGGCCGGCAUGGCUCAUUGAGCGUCGACCUAUGAACCAGGAGUUCACAGUUCCAUUCCCAGGUGGCAUAUCCCCAGGAUGCGGGCUCCAUCCCUAGUAUGGGGUAUACAGUAGGCAGCUGAUGAGCCAUUCUCUCUCAUUAUUGAUGUCUCUGUCUCUCUCCCUCUCCUUUCCUCUCUGAAAUUAAAACUAAAAAUAAAAUACACAAAUAAAAAAUAGAAGCAACCAAUUAAUUCAUAAACAAGUGGAACAAAUCAAUAUCUCUCUAAUCAAUAAAUACUUUUGUUAAUCCUCACCCGAGGAUAUUUUCCCCCAUUCAUUUUUUAGAGAGAGUGGAAGGGAGGGAGAGAGGAAGGGAGACAGACAGACAUCAGUGUGAGAAACACAUGGAUUGGUUGCCUCCUGCAAGCAGAGGAUUGAACCUGCAACCCAGGUACCCACCCUUGACAGGAACUAGAACCCACGACCUUUCUACCCUUCAGUGCCGGCGGGGAUCAAGACUAACCACUUAGAAACACUGGCCAGGGCAGUAAGUAAUUU
Myotis daubentonii (Daubenton's bat) is the source of this 4571-nucleotide long non-coding RNA. RefSeq lists it as uncharacterized. Lineage: Eukaryota; Metazoa; Chordata; Mammalia; Chiroptera; Vespertilionidae. The transcript has 2 exons. The record is from RefSeq and is a predicted model, not a curated record.